AUUUGACUCAACACGGGGAAACUCACCAGGUCCAGACACAAUAAGGAUUGACAGAUUGAGAGCUCUUUCUUGAUUUUGUGGGUGGUGGUGCAUGGCCGUUCUUAGUUGGUGGAGUGAUUUGUCUGCUUAAUUGCGAUAACGAACGAGACCUUAACCUACUAAAUAGUGGUGCUAGCAUUUGCUGGUUAUCCACUUCUUAGAGGGACUAUCGGUUUCAAGCCGAUGGAAGUUUGAGGCAAUAACAGGUCUGUGAUGCCCUUAGACGUUCUGGGCCGCACGCGCGCUACACUGACGGAGCCAGCGAGUCUAACCUUGGCCGAGAGGUCUUGGUAAUCUUGUGAAACUCCGUCGUGCUGGGGAUAGAGCAUUGUAAUUAUUGCUCUUCAACGAGGAAUUCCUAGUAAGCGCAAGUCAUCAGCUUGCGUUGAUUACGUCCCUGCCCUUUGUACACACCGCCCGUCGCUAGUACCGAUUGAAUGGCUUAGUGAGGCCUCAGGAUCUGCUUAGAGAAGGGGGCAACUCCAUCUC
RNAcentral lists this ribosomal RNA (528 nucleotides) under Saccharomyces cerevisiae (brewer's yeast). RNAcentral's name for it is "SSU rRNA". It matches the Rfam family "Eukaryotic small subunit ribosomal RNA", at positions 1193 to 1742 of the family's 1831-position model. Lineage: Eukaryota; Fungi; Ascomycota; Saccharomycetes; Saccharomycetales; Saccharomycetaceae. The record is from RNAcentral.